AAUUAAGCAAGCUAGCCAGUCACACACACAAGCAUGGACGCUGCAGGGUGUGGAGAGGGUUCGCAGGGUCAGCCCUCCGCUAGAUCGGUUGCCUCCCCGUCCCUCACCUCUCCACCUCCCGCUACUUAUAUGCCAAAGCCUAUGCUUGUAAGGGUCAGCACCUUCCUCACCUCACCUCGCCUCGCCUUGCCCAUCUCCUCCUCUCCAGCUCCCUCCCUCUCUCUUCGCCUCCAACUGCAGCUGCGUCUGCUGCUGCUGCCUUACUUGUUGCAGCUUGCAGACUCCUUCUCGGCAGGAACUAACACCGCCUUCAGUUUAAAUUGAUACAUCGACGCACCAGACGUGGGAGAAGCCAGUAGCAUGAGGGACAUGGCAGAGAGGAGAUCAAGGCAUGGGCAUGGGCAUGGGCACGGGCAUGCCAACGUCGUGCCGUUCGGGGCAGGCGCAGGAGGAGGGUUGCAGCAUGGAGAGCAUGAGCAGGAGGUCAAGGAGAAGAAGCUCGACAUGAGCGGCCUGUCCAUGGACACUAUCCCGCACCUCACCAUGUCCCUUGGCCACAUCACCACCUUGGACCUCUCCAACAACAAUCUCGAGAGCAUUCCAGAGUCAAUGAUCGCGCGGCUGCUGAACGUGGUGGUGCUGGACGUGCGCUCCAACCAGCUCAAGUCGCUGCCCAACUCCAUCGGCUGCCUCUCCAAGCUCCGGGUCCUCAACGUCUCCGGCAACCUGCUCCAGUCCCUUCCCGCCACCAUCGAGGAGUGCCGUGCGCUGGAGGAGCUGAACGCCAACUUCAACCAGCUGACGCGGCUGCCGGACACGCUGGGCUUCGAGCUCCACAGCCUCCGGAGGCUCUCCGUCAACUCCAACAAGCUCACCAGCCUCCCCUUCUCCACGUCCCACAUGACGGCGCUGCGGGCCCUGGACGCGCGCCUCAACUGCAUCCGCGCCCUCCCCGAGGGCCUCGAGAACCUCGUCAACCUCGAGGUGCUCAACGUCAGCCAGAACUUCCACUUCCUUAGGGAGCUGCCCUACGGCCUGGGGCUCCUCACCUCGCUCCGGGAGCUUGACAUCAGCUACAACUCCAUCUCCGUGCUCCCAGACUCCAUGGGCUGCCUAGCCAAGCUCAACAAGUUCAGCGCCGUCGGGAACCCGCUCGUCUGCCCGCCUAUGGACAUCGUCGAGCAGAGCCUUGACGCCAUGCGUACCUACCUCAGCUCCAGGAUGAACGGCACCGGCGUCAACGCCAAGAAGAAGAAGGGGUGGCUGCCCAGGAUGGUCAAGUACAACACCUUCUCCGGGCGGAUGACUCCCGGACGCAAGAGUGCCCACGACAACUCUGAGGGCUUCUCGAUGUCGGAUUACCACUCACUCAACGGCUCCGCAUCUCCGGGGUUCCUCUCCAUGCUUUCGCCACGACGGCUCUUCUCGCCACGGAGAGAUUCGCCCAAGCAUCAUUAAGGGUGGUCCACUUUGUAAGUGGUUUGAUCCUUCAAGUAUUCAGAUGAAAUGCUCCUAGGUGCUGCUGUUUCUGCAGGUGUGUACAUAUGUCUGAAGAGGUAUAUAUAUAUACAGUAGUGUGUAGUAGUACAAUAGGGCAUUGAUGUACAUAGAAACAAAGAAGAGCGCUUUUACUUUCCUUCUGUAUUUUUGUUUACUCGUUACAGUCUUACAGAUGCUUUUGUAAGUGCAGUGGAUUUUGAGUGAAAUUGUAAUCCUUUAUAUGUUGAAUGAACAUAAAGCUUGAGGUUUGGAAUGCAAUCCUUUAU
RNAcentral lists this ribosomal RNA (1766 nucleotides) under Triticum aestivum (bread wheat). RNAcentral's name for it is "partial small subunit ribosomal RNA". The record is from RNAcentral. Lineage: Eukaryota; Viridiplantae; Streptophyta; Magnoliopsida; Poales; Poaceae.